This 910-nucleotide ribosomal RNA is filed under the name bacterium KR 1979/121_62f. RNAcentral's name for it is "bacterial SSU rRNA". It matches the Rfam family "Bacterial small subunit ribosomal RNA", at positions 60 to 991 of the family's 1533-position model. The record is from RNAcentral.
AGUCGAGCGGUAAGGCCUUUCGGGGUACACGAGCGGCGAACGGGUGAGUAACACGUGGGUGAUCUGCCCUGCACUCUGGGAUAAGCUUGGGAAACUGGGUCUAAUACCGGAUAUGACCGCAUGCCGCAUGGUGUGUGGUGGAAAGAUUUAUCGGUGCAGGAUGGGCCCGCGGCCUAUCAGCUUGUUGGUGGGGUAAUGGCCUACCAAGGCGACGACGGGUAGCCGACCUGAGAGGGUGACCGGCCACACUGGGACUGAGACACGGCCCAGACUCCUACGGGAGGCAGCAGUGGGGAAUAUUGCACAAUGGGCGGAAGCCUGAUGCAGCGACGCCGCGUGAGGGAUGAAGGCCUUCGGGUUGUAAACCUCUUUCAGCAGGGACGAAGCGUGAGUGACGGUACCUGCAGAAGAAGCACCGGCUAACUACGUGCCAGCAGCCGCGGUAAUACGUAGGGUGCGAGCGUUGUCCGGAAUUACUGGGCGUAAAGAGUUCGUAGGCGGUUUGUCGCGUCGUUUGUGAAAACCCGGGGCUCAACUUCGGGCUUGCAGGCGAUACGGGCAGACUUGAGUGUUUCAGGGGAGACUGGAAUUCCUGGUGUAGCGGUGAAAUGCGCAGAUAUCAGGAGGAACACCGGUGGCGAAGGCGGGUCUCUGGGAAACAACUGACGCUGAGGAACGAAAGCGUGGGUAGCAAACAGGAUUAGAUACCCUGGUAGUCCACGCCGUAAACGGUGGGCGCUAGGUGUGGGUUCCUUCCACGGGAUCUGUGCCGUAGCUAACGCAUUAAGCGCCCCGCCUGGGGAGUACGGCCGCAAGGCUAAAACUCAAAGGAAUUGACGGGGGCUCGCACAAGCGGCGGAGCAUGUGGAUUAUUCGAUGCANNNGAGANCUUACUGGGUUUGACAUACAC